ACACUGUGCCAGUGGACCUUCUGCAUGCAGGGGUAGCAGUGGGUGAACCCUGCUAAGACAGCUUUGCCUCCACCUCUUGUCCCUGUACAGACAGCCGUGGGAGGCCUGUUUGAGGAAGGCUUUUUUCAACAAUCCACCUGGAAAGAAAUGGAGAAAUGAAGAGGGUUUUGUUUGGGCAUAAUCCAGUCCCACCACAUGAUGCUGACUGAUCCGUGAUAAAACUUUCAGAGCUCAGCAGGUGUUCGGGGAGUGAGUGCAGCCACCCAUUUGGAACAGCAGGCAGCCACCAGAGAGAGGGAUCUGAAACAGAGGCCAAAGGGAUGAAACACAGGAGGUCAGAUGUGAGCCACGAAGCCAAGUAACGCUUGUGUGAUUUACCAUAGAGAAAGGACCCCGUGUGUACUAGGAUUGUAAAGAUCAGCUAGACACAUUUCUCAUAGAGGCUGGGUUCGUGUUUGCACAGUGGUGGAAUAAUUUCUGCUCUUCUUUGUCCCGGUUAGUUCCUCAAAUGAAGAACUUCGGAAGAAGCACUCAAGAGGUCAAGGAUAACAACAGCAAACUUAGCAAGCCAAGGCCUGAAUCCUGUGCAUUACACAUGCUGUGGACAAAGCCUGCAGGUGUCUGAAGUUACAUACGGUGGCCAAUCAACCUAUUGCUAGCAGCUGGAUAACAGCCUGAGAGCCAUAAGGCACUGACACCUGGGAAAGAAAGGAGGGAUAUGCAGAACUAUGCAGUACAAGGUCUCUUUUGGGGGUCAGAGCAAGUAGAUUGGUCACUGCUAGAGUACUCAUCUUUGUGACUGAGAGCUUAUGCAUAUUCAGACACUUCACAGCACAGUCCACUUCUUCCACAUUAGCAUUACUACAUUGCUUGCAGCAAUGGAAAGCUAUUUUCAUUCCUUGAGUUCCUAUUGUCCUAGAACAGUGACAGCUGAGAAGCAACAGCAGGACGAUGAUAAAUACGCAGAGAAUCAAUUCCUGGCUGUUUAUGGGGCCCAGACACUGACUGCACAGCAGGAAGUUUCAGCAGCACAGCUUCAAUUGCUGUAAAUAAUCAGAAGUCAAAGGCACCACGACCCAGACCUGUUGGCUGUCAGAUGAUUCAGAACCUCACGCUAAGGAUAGUAAUGACCCUAAACGCACCCCACGUGCUGUCUGCACAGAGCAGAACUCUGCACGUGGAGCAGCUCAGUAGGUUUGUAUCAGCACUGGUGUAUGUGGAGGAUAAACAAUACCUGCUUGUUCAACACCAGCACACUGGGUGCUGCGCUGCAGAAACUGCACUUCAGAGCUAACUACAAAGAAAGAGGAAUUCGAGAGGCAGAGCUGCUCCUGUCUAACCAGCACAGACUAAGUGACAUCAAGGAGAUAACACAGGCUCGAAUUACCAGACAGGAAAGAGGAUGGAUAAAGAGUCCCUGCACAUAAGCUGGCUCCCCCCUUGGAAAAUACAACACGCAUCCUUUUGCACAACUCCCUCCUGACUGCUUUGGACACGGAGCCUCCCCAGCACACAAGCAGAAAGGCCCACGCAGCCCAGGGCAGAAUGCAUCUCCAUUCCUGAGCUCCUGGAGAGGCGAUCACACCAAACACAAAGCUCAAAAUCCUUUUUAAGGCUUUCACAUGCCGAGAACUUCUUGGUCAAAGGAGCAGCAUGCUAAGCUUGAAGUUUUUCCCACAGAAACUGGGGAUCUGGGAUCUGCGAUACUUUGGUUUAUACAGAAAGUCAAAGGACCUUUCUCAAUUCUUGUAAACUCUGCCCGCUUUAUUACUGAAAUUGGAGCAGCGUCUCCCAGGGGAAACAGAGUCAGCAGCUCACCGAGUUCUGCUCCUACAAAGGGCAAGAGCAAUUCAAAUCAAAGAGAUUAAUUUCCUACAAAGAGUGACAUUUUUGUCUGAAUACAGAGUACCAGAUCUAUCAAAUGCUUUGGAAGAUGUCUAAGUAAAUUGGCGUGGAAAUCUGCUGGUUGAAAUAUAACAAAAAUCAUGGCUUUUUGUCUGAAUCCUCAAAGCCUUGUGCACCGCUCUAUCUUCCAGCUUAGGGAAAAAUAAAUACAGGGAAGCAAACAAAGAACUGAUGGCAAAAGCUGGUCAAAAGAAAGCUGCAACAAAGCAUUUGAUCAGCCUGUAUGAAUGCUGCACUAAUUACUGCCACAGCCUGCACAUACAAGCUCUUUAAACCCAAUUACUGCUGUAACGAUGGGCCACGGCAUGACCAAAGUGUCAUUUCCAAAGGGAUCACCCUGUACUGGCUUGUCCUUUCCCUGCUAGAUUUUUCAUUGCUGUAACUCUGGUCCCUAAAAAACUAUCUGUAAUACCCCUAAGGUAAUGACCUAGCUAAACAAGGCUGUAUUUAUAGUGCCAUCAUUUCCCCUGGUAGUACAUUUCAGCGCAGAGAAAGCAAGUGGAUCCCUUGAGAAUUAUAUCCAAAUAUAUCUACUAUAAAAAAAAAAUCAUUGGCGUGAGUUAAUUAUAGCUUUACCUAGGUCUUCCAGGGACACACAGUGGGCCUUAGCCUGGGAAACCAGAGAAGCAACUCAACAUGACCUUCUCAUUUUCAAGCCAGUUUCCCCUUGCUACUGCUGGGUUAAAUUACCAGUGCCUAACCUAUUUGGUAUGGCAUUUUAGCGUCAUUGCUUUCUGCAGAAUGAAUGUCAGGACUCGCAGUCCUUGCUAGAUGCUGCAUUUUCUGCAGAAGUUGAUGGUGGAGAAUGUAAUACAUUUCACCUUAUUUUUAUGCCAUGCAAGACCAUUUGCUGUGACAAUGAAAUGCCUGGCACUGCCCAAAUUCAUAUCAUUCCAGAGAGGUAACUCCUUUCUCUCUAAUACAUACAGAGUACGUUCUCAUGUGAGAGAGAUGUUCAUUUACUAAAAAAAAAGAUGAAAAUCCUGACCAGGGUAACAUCUUGUGGUUGGACUGGAUGAUCUCAGAGGUCUUUUCCAACCUUGGUGAUUCUAUGGUUCUGUGAUCUUGGAAGUAAACUGCAACUGAGGAUAACAACAGACCUUCUGAAUCGUGAGUACUGAUUCCAGAUGUCUACAGUGAUGUGUGCCUAUGUGCUUCACACCUCAUCUGUAAGCUUGGGUCUUGCAAACAGGUGUCUUCUCAGGCACACUUUCCCAACAGAUAUCCACACCACCUUGCUUGGAACAGCACUGAGGUUUGUGGGAACACAGCCCAGGUUUCCAGCACCAUUCUUCCUGAAACUGUCCUUCCUCAAACAGCCCCAGGGACAGAUGCCAUUUUAACCCAUCACUGCACACCAAUUGUUGGCACAGUGCGCCUCUCCAUUUCAUGCAUCAGAUGCUUUGUUCCAAGCAUUUGAUUUUGGGCAGCCUUUGGGACUGACUGAGCCACACAUAAAGGCUGUGGAAGAAGCCAGCAGAGCUGGAUGAGAACUGCUGCUGUGAUUGCUCCCCUAGCUGCUGCGUUCAGAGAGGGAGAACUAGCACUGCAUGGUGAGACAGUACUGCAGUGCAAAUACCAGAAGGUUCCAAAACAUUUACCCGAGGGGGCAAAGCUUCAGCUCCAGCCCUUAUGAACUUCUGUGGUGCCUUUUUAAGGUUGUUACCUGCCAUUCACCGGCCUCAAGAAUAGACUGCUAUUAGAGCUGGGCUUUUACAUCAGUUUUAGCAACAACAGUAGGACCAGCACUGCUGACCUGAGGAUGCUGAGGUGAUCUCCUCACAAACUGACCCUGACAAUUAAAUUAAACACUUGCUCUGGGACAAAUAUUUAAGUACUGCUUCACUGGCAGGAAGAAAGAUCAGGAAGGAUCUUAAUCAGCUGCUGAACAAAGCAAUAUUUAAAACAGUCUCGUAUCUGUUUCCCCAUUCAGUACUAAAGAGCUUCAACAAGGUUCCGAGGGAAAAAAAAUAGAACUGUAUCACUUGGAUUUGGCCACUGUCUCAGCCAUUUGUCUUAGCAGAAUAUGUAAAUAUGUGAUGGAACCUUUGCCAAACAUACACUGCCUCUUCCCCCCGUCCUCUCCCUGGCUUCAGGGUGGAGACAUUCCUCAAACACACUUGCAAGGCCAGCGAUAAUCUCUAAUGCUUUCCAAGACAUGAGAUGCCAGGAAUGAUAGAGUUCACAGAUGAAGGAGUUUAGUACAAGAACAAGUCUUUCUCCUUUUAAGAGGAUUUUUUUUUUUAAAUCUCUGAUUAUUUUCAAUAAUGCCAUUUAUAUGCUGCAGCAUCACAGCUAGAUCUGUUGGUAAAGUGGUGUGAGGGAAAGACCAUGACAUUGGAAUGGGAAUAAUUUUUUGUCAAACUACUCUGUUUUUUUGUCAGAAAACUUUGCUAUUAAAGAAAACAUGGCAUU
Molecule: long non-coding RNA, 4320 nt
Organism: Gallus gallus (chicken)
Lineage: Eukaryota; Metazoa; Chordata; Aves; Galliformes; Phasianidae
Source: Ensembl